GGGUGGUUAGCUCAGUGGGAGCAUGAGUGCUUAGCAUGCACAGGGUCCUGGGUUCAAUCCCCAGUCCCUCCG
RNAcentral lists this transfer RNA (72 nucleotides) under Camelus bactrianus (Bactrian camel). It matches the Rfam family "tRNA". From Rfam's summary of the family: Transfer RNA (tRNA) molecules are approximately 80 nucleotides in length. Their secondary structure includes four short double-helical elements and three loops (D, anti-codon, and T loops). RNAcentral also lists the same sequence under 2 other names. The record is from Rfam by way of RNAcentral. Lineage: Eukaryota; Metazoa; Chordata; Mammalia; Artiodactyla; Camelidae.